GACGAACGCUGGCGGCGUGCUUAACACAUGCAAGUCGAACGGAAAGGCCCUGCUUUUGUGGGGUGCUCGAGUGGCGAACGGGUGAGUAACACGUGAGUAACCUGCCCUUGACUUUGGGAUAACUUCAGGAAACUGGGGCUAAUACCUGAUAGGAGCUCCUGCUGCAUGGUGGGGGUUGGAAAGUUUCGGCGGUUGGGGAUGGACUCGCGGCUUAUCAGCUUGUUGGUUGGGUAGUGGCUUACCAAGGCUUUGACGGGUAGCCGGCCUGAGAGGGUGACCGGCGACAUUGGGACUGAGAGACGGCCCAGACUCCUACGGGAGGCAGCAGUGGGGAAUAUUGCACAAUGGGCGGAAGCCUGAUGCAGCAACGCCGCGUGCGGGAUGACGGCCUUCGGGUUGUAAACCGCUUUCGCCUGUGACGAAGCGUGAGUGACGGUAAUGGGUAAAGAAGCACCGGCUAACUACGUG
RNAcentral lists this ribosomal RNA (468 nucleotides) under uncultured bacterium. RNAcentral describes it as "partial 16S ribosomal RNA". It matches the Rfam family "Bacterial small subunit ribosomal RNA", at positions 28 to 507 of the family's 1533-position model. The record is from RNAcentral.